RNAcentral lists this ribosomal RNA (432 nucleotides) under uncultured bacterium. RNAcentral describes it as "partial 16S ribosomal RNA". It matches the Rfam family "Bacterial small subunit ribosomal RNA", at positions 29 to 507 of the family's 1533-position model. The record is from RNAcentral.
GCGAACGCUGGCGGCAUGCCUAACACAUGCAAGUCGCACGAGACCUUCGGGUCUAGUGGCGCACGGGUGCGUAACGCGUGGGAACCUGCCCUUAGGUUCGGAAUAACUCCCCGAAAGGGGUGCUAAUACCGGAUAAUGUCUUCGGACCAAAGAUUUAUCGCCUUUGGAUGGGCCCGCGUUGGAUUAGCUAGUUGGUAGGGUAAAAGCCUACCAAGGCGACGAUCCAUAGCUGGUCUGAGAGGAUGAUCAGCCACACUGGGACUGAGACACGGCCCAGACUCCUACGGGAGGCAGCAGUGGGGAAUAUUGGACAAUGGGCGAAAGCCUGAUCCAGCAAUGCCGCGUGAGUGAUGAAGGCCUUAGGGUCGUAAAGCUCUUUUACCCGGGAUGAUAAUGACAGUACCGGGAGAAUAAGCUCCGGCUAACUCCGUG